UGUGGAUAGGGGUGAAAGGCUAAUCAAACUCGGAGAUAGCUGGUUCUCCCCGAAAACUAUUUAGGUAGGGCCUCGUGUAUCACUGUAGGGGGUAGAGCACUGUCAUGGUAGUGGGGUCCAUUGCGGAUUACUGCGCCAUAGCAAACUCCGAAUACCUACAAGUGCAAGCACGGGAGACAGACAUCGGGUGCUAACGUCCGGUGUCAAGAGGGAAACAACCCAGACCGCCAGCUAAGGUCCCUAAUAUAUGCUAAGUGGGAAACGAAGUGGGAAGGCUAAAACAGUCAGGAGGUUGGCUUAGAAGCAGCCAUCCUUUAAAGAAAGCGUAAUAGCUCACUGAUCGAGUCGUCCUGCGCGGAAGAUGUAACGGGGCUAAGCAUAUAACCGAAGCUGCGGAUCACAGCAAUGUGAUGGUAGGAGAGCGUUCUGUAAGCCUGUGAAGGUGUCUUGUAAAGGAUGCUGGAGGUAUCAGAAGUGCGAAUGCUGACAUGAGUAGCGAUAAAGGGGGUGAAAAGCCCCCUCGCCGUAAGCCCAAGGUUUCCUGUUCAACGUUCAUCGGAACAGGGUGAGUCGGCCCCUAAGGCGAGGCAGAGAUGCGUAGCUGAUGGGAACAAGGUUAAUAUUCCUUGACCAUUGUUAGAUGCGAUGGGGGGACGGAUCGCGGAAAGUUGUCCGGGUGUUGGAAGUCCCGGUUCUUGCGUUGGAGAUGGCUAUUAGGUAAAUCCGGUAGCGUAAUUCAAGGGCGUGAGACGAGCGAAUUUAUUCGCGAAGCAAUUGGAAGUGGUUCCAAGAAAAGCCUCUAAGCUUCAGUCUAACAAGACCGUACCGCAAACCGACACAGGUGGGCGAGAUGAGUAUUCUAAGGCGCUUGAGAGAACUCAGGAGAAGGAACUCGGCAAAUUUGUACCGUAACUUCGGGAUAAGGUACGCCCUGGUAGUUUGACCCUGUACAAGGGGAGGACGAAAGGGUUGCAAUAAAAAGGUGGCUGCGACUGUUUAAUAAAAACACAGCACUCUGCAAACACGAAAGUGGACGUAUAGGGUGUGACGCCUGCCCGGUGCUGGAAGGUUAAAUGAAGGGGUGCAAGCUCCAGAUUGAAGCCCCAGUAAACGGCGGCCGUAACUAUAACGGUCCUAAGGUAGCGAAAUUCCUUGUCGGGUAAGUUCCGACCUGCACGAAUGGCGUAACGAUGGCCACACUGUCUCCUCCUGAGACUCAGCGAAGUUGAAAUGUUUGUGAUGAUGCAAUCUCCCCGCGGAAAGACGGAAAGACCCCAUGAACCUUUACUGUAGCUUUGCAUUGGAAUUUGAACAGGCUUGUGUAGGAUAGGUGGGAGGCAAAGAAGCUGGAACGCCAGUUUCAGUGGAGCCAACCUUGAAAUACCACCCUGGUGUGUUUGGAUUUCUAACCUUGGUCCGUGAUCCGGAUUGGAGACAGUGCAUGGUGGGCAGUUUGACUGGGGCGGUCUCCUCCCAAAUUGUAACGGAGGAGUUCGAAGGUUACCUAGAUACGGUCGGAAAUCGUAUUGAUUGUGCAAUGGCAAAAGGUAGCUUAACUGCGAGACUGACAAGUCGAGCAGGUGCGAAAGCAGGACAUAGUGAUCCGGUGGUUCUGUAUGGAAGGGCCAUCGCUCAACGGAUAAAAGGUACUCCGGGGAUAACAGGCUAAUUCCGCCCAAGAGUUCAUAUCGACGGCGGUGUUUGGCACCUCGAUGUCGGCUCAUCACAUCCUGGGGCUGAAGCAGGUCCCAAGGGUAUGGCUGUUCGCCAUUUAAAGUGGUACGCGAGCUGGGU
This 1794-nucleotide ribosomal RNA is filed under the name Spirostomum semivirescens. RNAcentral describes it as "bacterial LSU rRNA". It matches the Rfam family "Bacterial large subunit ribosomal RNA", at positions 810 to 2610 of the family's 2925-position model. The record is from RNAcentral. Lineage: Eukaryota; Ciliophora; Heterotrichea; Heterotrichida; Spirostomidae.